Ipomoea nil (Japanese morning glory) is the source of this 457-nucleotide long non-coding RNA. RefSeq lists it as uncharacterized. The record is from RefSeq and is a predicted model, not a curated record. Lineage: Eukaryota; Viridiplantae; Streptophyta; Magnoliopsida; Solanales; Convolvulaceae. The transcript is spliced from 2 exons.
GCCGAGUAGCAGCGUUUGGUCGACGAGUGACAAGUAGCAAUGUCUAGUCAUUUUAAUUUGUUUGGCGAUGAGCAAGAAUCAGGUAUGUUUUUUUCCAGCGUUUUAAGAAGAAGCAAGGCAGUUCAUGAAAGGUUGGUUAUUCUUUUAUUCAAUCUCUUCGAUCUCUAAUUAGUUUAACAAAAUAGGUGUUCUCAACUUUUGAAUUUGUAGAUUACUCAAAUGGGCAUGCAUCGACAGUUAGUUAGCUCUGCUAUUGUUUCAAAUUUGAAAACUGAUGUCAGAAAAGGAGCAUGGGACAAAGUAGAGGAAACUGUGUCUCACUUGAAGCAAAAACAAUUAGAAAUGGCUGAAAUAGCAGUGUGGUUGGAGGCCACUGGUGGCGUGAGGAAAGGGAAGUAAUGCAACAGUAACACAAGGAUAUGGAAGAGCAAUACCGUAGUAUUUGUGAGACUGUCCA